UUCUUUUCAGGGGCUCUCGGGGCUAGGGCGAUAUUAAGGUUGCCUUUAGAAAUGUCAUUUUUUUGUGUUCGGAAAUCAAAAGGCAACCUUAAUACCGCCUUGGCCUUGAGAGCUUUUGGGGGGAACACUGGGGUCGUCUGGCAGGAGGCUCGGGUCGUGAGAGCUGUUUCUGAUCGUGGGGCCCUGCCCGCAGCCGGGGGGGUUGAGGUCCUGAGGGCCGGCUGGGGGCAUAGCGUUGUCGGCGUCGGGCGGGCGGAUGGUUUCAGUACGGCCUGGAGGUUUGCAGCCGCAAACGUUUGGCG
Molecule: long non-coding RNA, 302 nt
Filed under: Androctonus crassicauda
Lineage: Eukaryota; Metazoa; Arthropoda; Arachnida; Scorpiones; Buthidae
Source: RNAcentral